This 73-nucleotide transfer RNA is filed under the name Butyrivibrio sp. Its description in RNAcentral is "tRNA-Ala". It matches the Rfam family "tRNA". From Rfam's summary of the family: Transfer RNA (tRNA) molecules are approximately 80 nucleotides in length. The record is from RNAcentral. RNAcentral also lists the same sequence under 4 other names. Lineage: Bacteria; Bacillati; Bacillota; Clostridia; Lachnospirales; Lachnospiraceae.
GGGGAUAUAGCUCAGCUGGGAGAGCGCUGCGUUCGCAACGCAGAGGUCAGGGGUUCGAAUCCCCCUAUCUCCA